GUUAGCCGACGCUUAUUCCAAUGGUACCGUCCUUCCUCGUCCCACUGAAAAGGAUUUUACAACCCGAGGGCCUUCAUCAUCCACGCGGCGUCGCUGCAUCAGACUUCCGUCCAUUGUGCAAUAUUCCCUG
This 130-nucleotide ribosomal RNA is filed under the name uncultured bacterium. Its description in RNAcentral is "partial 16S ribosomal RNA". The record is from RNAcentral.